AAAGAAACCAACAGGGAUUGCCUCAGUAACGGCGAGUGAAGCGGCAACAGCUCAAAUUUGAAAUCUGGCCCUUUCAGGGUCCGAGUUGUAAUUUGUAGAGGGUGCUUUGGCGUCGGCCGUGGUCUAAGUUCCUUGGAACAGGACGUCACAGAGGGUGAGAAUCCCGUACGUGGCCGCCGGUCUUCGCCGUGUAAAGCCCCUUCGACGAGUCGAGUUGUUUGGGAAUGCAGCUCUAAAUGGGAGAUAAAUUUCUUCUAAAGCUAAAUAUUGGCCAGAGACCGAUAGCGCACAAGUAGAGUGAUCGAAAGAUGAAAAGCACUUUGGAAAGAGAGUCAAAAAGCACGUGAAAUUGUUGAAAGGGAAGCGCUUGCAGCCAGACGUGCCCGCAGUUGCUCACCCGGGCUUUUGCCCGGGGCAUUCUUCUGCGGGCAGGCCAGCAUCAGUCCGGGCGGUUGGAUAAAGGCCUCUAUCACGUACCACCCUUCGGGGUGUCCUUAUAGGGGAGGCGCAACACGGCCAGCCUGGACUGAGGACCGCGCAUUUGCUAGGAUGCUGGCGUAAUGGCUGUAAGCGGCCCGUCUUGAAACACGGACCAAGGAGUCUAACAUCUAUGCGAGUGUUUGGGUGUAAAGCCCGGGCGCGCAAUGAAAGUGAACGGAGGUGGGAACCCCUCGGGGUGCACCAUCGACCGAUCCUGAAGUCUUCGGAUGGAUUUGAGUAAGAGCAUAGCUGUUGGGACCCGAAAGAUGGUGAACUAUGCCUGAAUAGGGUGAAGCCAGGGGAAACCCUGGUGGAGGCUCGCAGCGGUUCUGACGUGCAAAUCGAUCGUCAAAUUUGGGCAUAGGGGCGAAAGACUAAUCGAACCA
This 866-nucleotide ribosomal RNA is filed under the name Pararoussoella juglandicola. RNAcentral's name for it is "partial 28S ribosomal RNA". It matches the Rfam family "Eukaryotic large subunit ribosomal RNA", at positions 58 to 942 of the family's 3401-position model. Lineage: Eukaryota; Fungi; Ascomycota; Dothideomycetes; Pleosporales; Thyridariaceae. The record is from RNAcentral.